Molecule: long non-coding RNA, 448 nt
Filed under: Felis catus (domestic cat)
Lineage: Eukaryota; Metazoa; Chordata; Mammalia; Carnivora; Felidae
Description: lncRNA (ENSFCAG00000049405.1)
Source: RNAcentral
CUCUUUUUCUUUCCCAUUGAAAUAUGCCUGUAUUGGAAACAGGUGCCUUCAUGGGGAGGUAGAUAGCGUGCUUAAGAGAAAAAGGAAAUUUAAAGAAAAACUUGAGUUCCUUCUUCUGGAGUCCUGACCACUUGGCCUAUGCCUGUUUGGGCAGGACGGGAAGGCUUGGACGUGGAAGACGAGGUGGGAGGAGAAACGAUAUUUGAAAGCAGCAGAUAGGAAAUCAACAAAAUGACAAGGUGGUGCAUGUGAUUGCCAUAUCACCUUCAGAGAUUCUUUCUAGAAGACACGCACAUGCUGUCUACAUUUCAGAUGGCCAAGCCAAUCGUGAGUCAGCUCUGCAGGGAAGCCUGCUCCCCCUGCACUGGCCUGUGAUGCCUCAAGGAGGAGGCUGGACCUGGAGGAAGAGGAACCUCUGUGCUCCCUGAAGGCUCCCUGAGAAUCUUCU